Molecule: small nucleolar RNA, 83 nt
Filed under: Paramormyrops kingsleyae
Lineage: Eukaryota; Metazoa; Chordata; Actinopteri; Osteoglossiformes; Mormyridae
Description: Small nucleolar RNA SNORD11B (ENSPKIG00000003636.1)
Rfam family: Small nucleolar RNA SNORD11B
Source: RNAcentral
UGACAGUGGUGAUGAUGACGACUUAAGUCUCUACCCCGAAAAAGGACAUGUGGGUCUUUUGUCACUACCUCAUCUGAACUUCC